Cricetulus griseus (Chinese hamster) is the source of this 96-nucleotide small nuclear RNA. Lineage: Eukaryota; Metazoa; Chordata; Mammalia; Rodentia; Cricetidae. The record is from Ensembl.
AUGUUCCACAGCAUAUGUAACAAAACUGAAACAUGGAGAUUAGCACGACCCCUGUGCAAGAAUGACAAGCAAAUUUGUGAGGCAUUUGGUAUUUUU